Molecule: long non-coding RNA, 200 nt
Filed under: Hordeum vulgare
Lineage: Eukaryota; Viridiplantae; Streptophyta; Magnoliopsida; Poales; Poaceae
Description: long non-coding RNA (HVUL_LNC005088)
Source: RNAcentral
AGUAAAUUUACUUUUUGUAAUUUUGUCCACGAGUAUAGGAGCUCGAAUUUUGUGACUUACAAUGUUACUAAGCACGCAUUUUUGUUCGGAAUUGGCCGUGGUGUUUGGUUAGGCUUUGCCGGAGAUUUGACCUUUAUCCCUAUAAAUGUUACGACAGAUUAAAUAAAGCUUGACAAGGUUGUCUUAAAAAAAAAACUAAC